Molecule: ribosomal RNA, 292 nt
Filed under: uncultured bacterium
Lineage: Bacteria
Description: partial 16S ribosomal RNA
Source: RNAcentral
GGACUACUAGGGUUUCUAAUCCUGUUUGCUCCCCUUGCUUUCGCGCAUUAGUGUCAGGAAUAAACUAGAAAAUCGCCUUCGCCACCGGUGUUCUUCCACAUAUCUACGCAUUUCACCGCUACACGUGGAAUUCCAUUUUCUCCGUCCAUCCUCUAGAAAAGGAGUUUUGGAUGCGGUUUCGAGGUUGAGCCUCGAGCUUUCACAUCCAACUUUCUUUCCCACCUACGCGCUCUUCACGCCCAAUAAAUCCGAUUAAUGCUUGCACCCUCCGUAUUACCGCGGCUGCUGGCAC